RNAcentral lists this ribosomal RNA (278 nucleotides) under uncultured bacterium. Its description in RNAcentral is "partial 16S ribosomal RNA". It matches the Rfam family "Bacterial small subunit ribosomal RNA", at positions 28 to 296 of the family's 1533-position model. The record is from RNAcentral.
GAUGAACGCUAGCGACAGGCUUAACACAUGCAAGUCGAGGGGCAGCGAUAGGUGGCAACACCGAGUCGGCGACCGGCGCACGGGUGAGUAACGCGUAUGCAACCUGCCCAUCAGCGGGGGAUAACCCGUCGAAAAGACGGACUAAUACCCGCAAUAAAACAGGGGUUCCGCAUGGAAAUAUUUGUUAAAAGAUUUAUUGCUGAUGGAUGGGCAUGCGUUCUAUUAGGCAGUUGGCGGGGUAACGCCCACCAAACCGACGAUAGAGUAGGGGUUCUGAG